GAGUUUGAUCCUGGCUCAGAUUGAACGCUGGCGGCAUGCCUUACACAUGCAAGUCGAACGGCAGCACGGGAGCUUGCUCCUGGUGGCGAGUGGCGAACGGGUGAGUAAUGCAUCGGAACGUAUCCUGGAGUGGGGGAUAACGUAGCGAAAGUUACGCUAAUACCGCAUAUUCUGUGAGCAGGAAGCGGGGACCUUCGGGCCUCGCGCUCUUGGAGCGGCCGAUGUCAGAUUAGCUAGUUGGUGAGGUAAAGGCUCACCAAGGCGACGAUCCGUAGCAGGUCUGAGAGGAUGAUCUGCCACACUGGAACUGAGACACGGUCCAGACUCCUACGGGAGGCGAGCAGUGGGGUAAGUUUUGGACAAGU
Molecule: ribosomal RNA, 365 nt
Filed under: bacterium enrichment culture clone ALO1_GLFRUDD03F1A2T
Lineage: Bacteria
Description: bacterial SSU rRNA
Rfam family: Bacterial small subunit ribosomal RNA
Source: RNAcentral